Molecule: ribosomal RNA, 468 nt
Filed under: uncultured bacterium
Lineage: Bacteria
Description: partial 16S ribosomal RNA
Rfam family: Bacterial small subunit ribosomal RNA
Source: RNAcentral
GACGAACGCUGGCGGCGUGCUUAACACAUGCAAGUCGAACGGAAAGGCCCUGUUUUUGUGGGGUGUUCGAGUGGCGCACGGGUGUGUAUCACGUGAGUAACCUGCCCUUUACUUUGGGAUACCUUCUGGGAACUGGAGUUCUUAUCGGAUAGGAGCUCCUGAUACAUGGUGUGGGUUGUAGAGUUGCGGCGUUUGGGGAUGCACGCGCGGCUUAUGGGCUUGUUGGUGGGGUGGUGGGUUACCAAGGCGCGGACGGGUAGCCGGCCUGAGAGGGUGACCGGCCACAUUGGGACUGAGAUGCGGCCCAGAGUGAUACGGGAGGCAGAAGUGGAGAAUAGUGCAAAAUGGGCGGAAGGAUGGUGCAGCAACGCCGCGUGCGGGAUGACGGCCUUCAGGGUAGAAACCGCGUUCGCGUGUGACGCAGCGUGAGUGACGGUAAUGGGUAAAGAAGCACCGGCUAACUACGUG